RNAcentral lists this ribosomal RNA (499 nucleotides) under uncultured Methanosaeta sp. Its description in RNAcentral is "bacterial SSU rRNA". It matches the Rfam family "Archaeal small subunit ribosomal RNA", at positions 324 to 823 of the family's 1478-position model. The record is from RNAcentral. Lineage: Archaea; Methanobacteriati; Methanobacteriota; Methanomicrobia; Methanotrichales; Methanotrichaceae.
UACGGGGUGCAGCAGGCGCGAAAACUUUACAAUGCGGGAAACCGUGAUAAGGGGAUCUCGAGUGCCAGCAUAUAAUGUUGGCUGUCCAGAUGCCUAAAAAGCAUCUGUUAGCAAGGGCCGGGCAAGACCGGUGCCAGCCGCCGCGGUAACACCGGCGGCCCGAGUGGUAACCGCUAUUAUUGGGUCUAAAGGGUCUGUAGCCGGCCAGGUAAGUCCCUUGGGAAAUCUGGCAGCUCAACUGUCAGGCUGCUAGGGGAUACUGUUUGGCUUGGGACCGGGAGAGGUGAGAGGUACCUUGGGGGUAGGGGUGAAAUCUUGUGAUCCUCGAGGGACCACCAGUGGCGAAGGCGUCUCACCAGAACGGGUCCGACGGUAAGGGACGAAAGCUAGGGGCACGAACCGGAUUAGAUACCCGGGUAGUCCUAGCCGUAAACGAUGCUCGCUAGGUGUCAGUCACGGUGCGACCGUGAUUGGUGCGGUAGGGAAGCCGUGAAGCGAG